AGCGCCUUGGGCAGCCUGCCCCAAGUGUCAUUGCUUUGCACACAGGUCCCUCCCCUGUGCCCCGCUCCGCCACAGCACUGUCACUGGGUUUUGUGUUUCACGUGUAUCUGCUACUCUGCUGGACUAAGAAGAACUAGGGGAGAGUGUCUUCCUCACCCUUGGAUCCCAGAGGAUGCACAAGGCCUGGCCCAGAGCAGAGACGACUCACUGGAAAAGACCCUGGUGCUGGGAAAGAUUGGAGACAGGAGGAGAAAGAGAUGACAGAGGAUGAGAUGGUUUGGAUGGCAUCACUGACCUAAUGGAUCUGAGUUCAGCUGCCCUUGGGCUUCCCAGAGAAAUCUUGGAGGGCUGAGUUCACAGCUUUGCUGGAGAUUCACAGCUGGAAUAAGAUGUUCAAGCAAGGAACACGAAGAGGAAUACAUCCCUUUAAUGUAAAAGUAGACUCGAUGGAGUUGUAAAGAGAAGAGGAGAAAGGAGUUUCAAGUUUCCUUUCCUGGAGAAAAUCAUCAUCUCAAGUUCGGAACAGGACAUAAUCUGAAAGCAAGUGGCUGAAGGUGGUCUGGAGUUCCCAUGUGGAG
Molecule: long non-coding RNA, 578 nt
Organism: Bos taurus (domestic cattle)
Lineage: Eukaryota; Metazoa; Chordata; Mammalia; Artiodactyla; Bovidae
Source: Ensembl